MicroRNA precursor from Oryza sativa Japonica Group (Japanese rice), 201 nucleotides. It matches the Rfam family "MIR812 microRNA precursor family". NCBI's taxonomy places the organism in Eukaryota, Viridiplantae, Streptophyta, Magnoliopsida, Poales, Poaceae. The record is from Rfam.
AAUAUUUGAAUCCAUGUACCUAAGAACUCAAUGUUGUGACCGUUGGUCUUAUUUGAAAAAAAAUUAUGAUUAAUAUUUUUAUUGUUAUUAGAUGAUAAAACAUGAAUAAUACUUUAUGUGUGACUUUUUUUAAAAAAAAAUCAUAAAAUUUCCAAAUAAGACGUCAAACGUUGGACACAUAUGCCUACGGCUUCACUUAUU